GCGACGUGCCCGACUGACCGUCGGAGGGGUCCGAAUCUCCACCCGACACCGCUCAGCUGGCCACCGACCUAAGGUCAGUCGACUCCUCCGAUCGCCGUACUACUGCCAGAGACUGUCAGUCCUGACAGCAGCAUGCGGCACUGCCGCCUAAGGGCAUUAUCCCGCCUAGGGCAUUGUCAACCCUAGUGAUUUGACAGCCCCACGGCGACGUGACAUUUUCACG
RNAcentral lists this long non-coding RNA (223 nucleotides) under Elaeis guineensis (African oil palm). RNAcentral's name for it is "long non-coding RNA (EGUI_LNC017444)". The record is from RNAcentral. Lineage: Eukaryota; Viridiplantae; Streptophyta; Magnoliopsida; Arecales; Arecaceae.